Molecule: long non-coding RNA, 582 nt
Filed under: Dermacentor andersoni
Lineage: Eukaryota; Metazoa; Arthropoda; Arachnida; Ixodida; Ixodidae
Description: uncharacterized LOC126545948
Source: RNAcentral
UCAAAGUGCUGGUGUGUACUGGACACUAUGUUUGAAAACUUUUAGGCAAGAGGAGUGCAAGAAGCAGACAUAACUGCAUUUAUUUCCAUAAUUCCCCAUUUGAAUGGCCUUUUCUUUUUGCUUAGACAAUGCCUACGCCUAGCCACAGCAGCUCCUUCAUACAGACUUCGCAAGCCAAGAGGCCGUGGAGGCAAAUGCAGGCAGCCAGCACACCCCGAACAGCCACCUUGACUGCGGGUGUGUCACCCUAGUCACCAAGGAAACAUUUGAGGGAAAGCGACAGGCAAUGUGAACAGCCACUUCUCCAUGUAAACGAUACACUUUCUCUCGGAUUACUCCUACGCCUCGCCACGCCAGCACACUUGUGCACAAAGAUGCCACGGAGGCACGUGCAGGUCAGAGGCAAGAAGCAGUGGCACUGGUGUCGACAUUCACCCAAUUUCUUUUUCUUACACCGAGGCAGCCAGCACACCUCGAACAGCCACCUUGACUGUGGGUGUGUCAGUAGAUUCCUGUUGUACAUAUGCUCAUAAUAAACUUCAGUAAAUUUGAACUUGAUAAUAAACUUGAAGGCAAAUGGGA